GGCAAAUUAUAUCUAAAUGGCAGUAAAUUCUAUUUAAUCUAUUCUGUUCUUUUUCUAAAUAUGAAGCUGUUUAUAUGUACCACAAGGGUGCAGCAGUAGGCUAACUAAAGAACUGCAGAACUUCACAAAACUAUUCAAUACAAAGUCUGCUGUCUAUAGAGUUCAUUCAAGAGAGUACGGGCUUGUUCAUGGCUCGGUUUUCUUCUGUUUAAACAUGACAUGAGUUUUAACGUGGAAUUUUAUAACUUACAAAAUAUCUGAAUGUCGCAAUCAGGGCUACAGAUUUGUUGGUGCGUUGCGCGGAAGUCAUCAGCAUCCUCAGAGUCGCUGCUUUCACUUCCAUCCACUUCACGAGUGGACGCGUCUGAGAGCAGUUGAUCUCUGUGACAAGAUCUCUAAACUUCAGCUGCUCAUCAGAUAUGCAAGAUGAGAAGAUUACUUGGAAUUCUUGUACUUUUGAAAUACUGCAUUUGCGGUGAUGUGCAAGACUUCGAUGGAGACAUCAAGAACUUUGUAGUUGGUAACAGUAAGUUAUUUGUUCUGACUGAUCAUCGACUACAUCAGAUGAGACACGAUCUUUAUGAAGAGAAGAGGAAAGACAUCACUAAUGCCACUGAACACAACAGAGUCAACAUCCUGGUGCCUUUUGUCGCCAACGGCACCUUGAUAACGUGUGGGACUUUAAAAGAUGGAUAUUGUGAGGUUCUUGAUAUAAAUGACAUUACAAACAGUAUUUACUAUGAAAGUAAUAUACUGAUAGGACCGCGACAGGAUGAGAAAUCUGUUGCCUUCAUAGCCGGUACAAGUAGCAGUAGGUACCUUUUGGUUGGGAAAAAAGACGACGAUGCAAAACCUCAAGAUACCAGCUAUUCUGUUGUUAUCUUGUGGAACACUUUACAGUCUCAAGCAGGUGGGAUUUUCUCAAAAAUAGCAGAAGGAUCAGAUGCCAGCAUUCAGAGCACUGUGAGAGAUGUGGAGUUUGUUGAUGGAUUCCAGAGAGUUUCACCCUCAGAAUCAUACUUAUUUCUCAACGCAAAGACUGACUCAGAGAGGAAAGUGCUCGUCCUGUGGAUGAACAGCUCUAAAGAAAAAAAGAUAGACAUCUUCAAAUCCCUAAAGGCUGCAACGAUACGAUGCUGCAGUGAUAAAGCUCGUCCGGUGCUCGUCGCCUGCACCGUUAUUCCCUCAGUGAACGGAGUUAUUUGGGCAGGUGUGUUCAGUGCACAGAAUCAGCAGGAUCCGGAGAACAGCGCGCUGGCUCUGUACGACAUCAGUAAUGUUAAAGGACGAGUGAAGGGCUUCUGCGCUAUUGGUGAAAAGCCGUCUGUGUUUCAGGGUGAUACUGAACUUCAGCCGCUCUCUGUGGUGUUCAAGUACAGCUCAAUGUCAGCAGUGGCAGCAGUUAGAAGUGGAUCCUGGAUUGUGUUGUUCAUAGGAACCAGUGAUGGCCAACUCAUAAAGCUUGUUUUGGAUGAGAAAUUCACUCCAGGCUGUCCAAUAGUGCUGUUCAAAUCUGAUGAUGAGCGAGCAGUGCUUCCCAGAAUGCACUUUGAUCCAGUAGAUUUCAAACAUAUUUACAUCGCUCUAAAGAAACAGGUGAAGUUUACAAAUGUCCAGUUAACAAACAAUAAAAACAUUGUAUAUAGUAUAUAUACUACUAUAGCAGAAACAUCAUAA
Long non-coding RNA from Cyprinus carpio (common carp), 1677 nucleotides. NCBI's taxonomy places the organism in Eukaryota, Metazoa, Chordata, Actinopteri, Cypriniformes, Cyprinidae. The record is from Ensembl.